UACACUCCUACGGGAGGCAGCAGUAGGGAAUCUUCCACAAUGGGUGCAAACCUGAUGGAGCAAUGCCGCGUGAGUGAAGAAGGUCUUCGGAUCGUAAAGCUCUGUUGUUAGAGAAGAACACGUGCUAGGUAACUACUAGCGCCUUGACGGUAUCUAACCAGAAAGUCACGGCUAACUACGUGCCAGCAGCCGCGGUAAUACGUAGGUGACAAGCGUUGUCCGGAUUUAUUGGGCGUAAAGGGAGCGCAGGCGGUCUGUUUAGUCUAAUGUGAAAGCCCACGGCUUAACCGUGGAACGGCAUUGGAAACUGACAGACUUGAAUGUAGAAGAGGAAAAUGGAAUUCCAAGUGUAGCGGUGGAAUGCGUAGAUAUUUGGAGGAACACCAGUGGCGAAGGCGAUUUUCUGGUCUAACAUUGACGCUGAGGCUCGAAAGCGUGGGGAGCGAACAGGAUUAGAAACCCGAGUAGUCCC
RNAcentral lists this ribosomal RNA (472 nucleotides) under uncultured organism. RNAcentral's name for it is "partial 16S ribosomal RNA". It matches the Rfam family "Bacterial small subunit ribosomal RNA", at positions 332 to 797 of the family's 1533-position model. The record is from RNAcentral.